GAGUUUGAUUAUGGCUCAGGAUGAACGCUAGCUACAGGCUUAACACAUGCAAGUCGAGGGGCAGCAUUAUCUUAGCUUGCUAAGAUAGAUGGCGACCGGCGCACGGGUGAGUAACACGUAUCCAACCUUCCGGUUACUCGGGGAUAGGCUUUCGAAAGAAAGAUUAAUACCCGAUGUUGCGUAUCUUUCUCCUGAAAGAUACGCCAAAGGAUUCCGGUAACCGAUGGGGAUGCGUUCCAUUAGGCAGUUGGCGGGGUAACGGCCCACCAAACCUUCGAUGGAUAGGGGUUUUGAGAGGAAGGUCCCCCACAUUGGAACUGAGACACGGUCCAAACUCCUACGGGAGGCAGCAGUGAGGAAUAUUGGUCAAUGGACGGAAGUCUGAACCAGCCAAGUAGCGUGAAGGAUGACUGCCCUCUGGGUUGUAAACUUCUUUUAUACGGGAAUAACAUGAGGUACGCGUACCUUAUUGCAU
RNAcentral lists this ribosomal RNA (475 nucleotides) under Bacteroides sp. canine oral taxon 183. RNAcentral's name for it is "bacterial SSU rRNA". It matches the Rfam family "Bacterial small subunit ribosomal RNA", at positions 9 to 474 of the family's 1533-position model. The record is from RNAcentral. Lineage: Bacteria; Pseudomonadati; Bacteroidota; Bacteroidia; Bacteroidales; Bacteroidaceae.